Molecule: ribosomal RNA, 1439 nt
Filed under: Mycobacterium sp.
Lineage: Bacteria; Bacillati; Actinomycetota; Actinomycetes; Mycobacteriales; Mycobacteriaceae
Description: bacterial SSU rRNA
Rfam family: Bacterial small subunit ribosomal RNA
Source: RNAcentral
GACGAACGCUGGCGGCGUGCUUAAACACAUGCAAGUCGAACGGAAAGGCCNCUUCGGGGUAACUCGAGUGGCGAACGGGUGAGUAACACGUGGGUGANCUGCCCUGCACUUUGGGAUAAGCCUGGGAAACUGGGUYUAAUACCGAAUAUGACCAUGCAMUUCCUGGUGUGUGGUGGAAAGCUUUUGCGGUGUGGGAUGGGCCCGCGGCCUAUCAGCUUGUUGGUGGGGUAAUGGCCUACCAAGGCGACGACGGGUAGCCGGCCUGAGAGGGUGACCGGCCACACUGGGACUGAGAUACGGCCCAGAAUUCUACGGGAGGCAGCAGUGGGGAAUAUUGCACAAUGGGCGCAAGCCUGAUGCAGCGACGCCGCGUGAGGGAUGACGGCCUUCGGGUUGUAAACCUCUUUCAGCACAGACGAAGCGCAAGUGACGGUAUGUGCAGAAGAAGGACCGGCCAACUACGUGCCACCACCCGCGGUAAUACGUAGGGUCCGAGCGUUGUCCGGAAUUACUGGGCGUAAAGAGCUCUAGGUGGUUUGUCGCGUUGUUCGUCAAAACUCACAGCUUAACUGUGGGCGUGCGGGCGAUACGGGCAGACUUGAGUACUGCAGGGGAGACUGGAAUUCCUGGUGUAGCGGUGGAAUGCGCAGAUAUCAGGAGGAACACCGGUGGCGAAGGCGGGUCUCUGGGCAGUAACUGACGCUGAGGAGCGAAAGCGUGGGAGCGAACAGGAUUAGAUACCCUGGUAGUCCACGCCGUAAACGGUGGGUACUAGGUGUGGGUUUCCUUCCUUGGGAUCCGUGCCGUAGCUAACGCAUUAAGUACCCCGCMUGGGGAGUACGGCCNCAAGGCUAAAACUCAAAGAAAUUGACGGGGGCCCGCACAAGCGGNGGAGCAUGUGGAUUAAUUGGAUGCAAAGGGGAAGAACCUUACCUGGUUUGACAUGCACAGGAGCCAGUAGAGAUAUUGGUUCCCUUGUGGCCUGUGUGCAGGUGGUGCAUGGCUGUCGUCAGCUCGUGUCGUGAGAUGUUGGGUUAAGUCCCGCAACGAGCGCAACCCUUGUCCUAUGUUGCCAGCGGGUUAUGCCGGGGACUCGUACGAGACUGCCGGGGUCAACUCGGAGGAAGGUGGGGAUGACGUCAAGUCAUCAUGCCCCUUAUGUCCAGGGCUUCACACAUGCUACAAUGGCCGGUACAAAGGGCUGCGAUGCCGUGAGGUGGAGCGAAUCCUUUCAAAGCCGGUCUCAGUUCGGAUCGGGGUCUGCAACUCGACCCCGUGAAGUCGGAGUCGCUAGUAAUCGCAGAUCAGCAACGCUGCGGUGAAUACGUUCCCGGGCCUUGUACACACCGCCCGUCACGUCAUGAAAGUCGGUAACACCCGAAGCCGGUGGCCUAACCCUUGUGGAGGGAGCCGUCGAAGGUGGGACGGCGAUUGGGACG